CCUACGGGAGGCAGCAGUGGGGAAUAUUGCACAAUGGGGGAAACCCUGAUGCAGCGACGCCGCGUGAGUGAAGAAGUAUUUCGGUAUGUAAAGCUCUAUCAGCAGGGGAGAAAAUGACGGUACCUGAUUAAGAAGCCCCGGCUAACUACGUGCCAGCAGCCGCGGUCAUACGUCGGGGGCAAGCGUUAUCCGGAUUUACUGGGUGUAAAGGGAGCGUAGACGGGAGUACGAGUCUGGAGUGAAAUGCCGGGGCUUAACCCCGGAACUGCUGUUGAAACUGUGCAGCUAGAGUGCAGGAGAGGUAAGUGGAAUUCCUGGUGUAGCGGUGAAAUGCGUAGAUAUUAGGAGGAACACCAGUGGCGAAGGCGGCUUACUGGACUGUAACUGACGUUGAGGCUCGAAAGCGUGGGGAGCAAACAGGAUUAGAUACCCCUGUAGUC
This 440-nucleotide ribosomal RNA is filed under the name uncultured bacterium. Its description in RNAcentral is "partial 16S ribosomal RNA". It matches the Rfam family "Bacterial small subunit ribosomal RNA", at positions 338 to 795 of the family's 1533-position model. The record is from RNAcentral.